Molecule: ribosomal RNA, 372 nt
Filed under: uncultured organism
Description: partial 16S ribosomal RNA
Rfam family: Bacterial small subunit ribosomal RNA
Source: RNAcentral
GUAGGUGGCAAGCGUUGUCCGGAAUUAUUGGGCGUCAAGCGCGCGCAGGGCGGUCCUUUAAGUCUGAUGUGAAAGCCCACGGCUCAACCGUGGAGGGUCAUUGGAAACUGGGGGACUUGAGUACAGAAGAGGAAAGCGGAAUUCCAAGUGUAGCGGUGAAAUGCGUAGAGAUUUGGAGGAACACCAGUGGCGAAGGCGGCUUUCUGGUCUGUAACUGACGCUGAGGCGCGAAAGCGUGGGGAGCAAACAGGAUUAGAUACCCUGGUAGUCCACGCCGUAAACGAUGAGUGCUAAGUGUUAGGGGGUUUCCGCCCCUUAGUGCUGCAGCUAACGCAUUAAGCACUCCGCCUGGGGAGUACGGCCGCAAGGCUG